RNAcentral lists this ribosomal RNA (734 nucleotides) under uncultured Streptococcaceae bacterium. RNAcentral describes it as "bacterial SSU rRNA". It matches the Rfam family "Bacterial small subunit ribosomal RNA", at positions 61 to 778 of the family's 1533-position model. Lineage: Bacteria; Bacillati; Bacillota; Bacilli; Lactobacillales; Streptococcaceae. The record is from RNAcentral.
GUAGAACGCUGAAGAGAGGAGCUUGCUCUUCUUGGAUGAGUUGCGAACGGGUGAGUAACGCGUAGGUAACCUGCCUGGUAGCGGGGGAUAACUAUUGGAAACGAUAGCUAAUACCGCAUAAAAUUGAUUAUUGCAUGAUAAUUAAUUGAAAGAUGCAAUUGCAUCACUACCAGAUGGACCUGCGUUGUAUUAGCUAGUUGGUGAGGUAACGGCUCACCAAGGCGAGGAUACAUAGCCGACCUGAGAGGGUGAUCGGCCACACUGGGACUGAGACACGGCCCAGACUCCUACGGGAGGCAGCAGUAGGGAAUCUUCGGCAAUGGGGGGAACCCUGACCGAGCAACGCCGCGUGAGUGAAGAAGGUUUUCGGAUCGUAAAGCUCUGUUGUAAGAGAAGAACGGGUGUGAGAGUGGAAAGUUCACACUGUGACGGUAUCUUACCAGAAAGGGACGGCUAACUACGUGCCAGCAGCCGCGGUAAUACGUAGGUCCCGAGCGUUGUCCGGAUUUAUUGGGCGUAAAGCGAGCGCAGGCGGUUAGAUAAGUCUGAAGUUAAAGGCUGUGGCUUAACCAUAGUAUGCUUUGGAAACUGUUUAACUUGAGUGCAGAAGGGGAGAGUGGAAUUCCAUGUGUAGCGGUGAAAUGCGUAGAUAUAUGGAGGAACACCGGUGGCGAAAGCGGCUCUCUGGUCUGUAACUGACGCUGAGGCUCGAAAGCGUGGGGAGCAAACAGGAU